AAAGAUGGUUUUGCCGAAUUGUUGUCAUUCAAUGUGCAUCAAAUGCUACCGAAAUUGGUAAAGACAAGUCUUAUUAAGCAUCAUCGUCAUUGUCUAUGAAGCACUUUGUAGUGACCUCUGUGCUCAAUUGCUAUUUCUUCCUACAUUACAGGAACACAAGGUCAGAAUCAUGUCCAUUUUGUCGUGGCAGCUUAAAGAGGGUCAACUCAGAGGACUUAUGGGUACUCACUUGCAGCGAUGAUGUGGUUGAUACCGAAACCGUUUCCAAGGAGGACAUGUUGCAGUUUCAUCGCUACAUAAACAGCCUUCCAAAAGACUAUCCAGAUGCCCUCUUCAUAGUAUAUUCCGAAUAUCUAAUUUAGUUCAGGCUUCAGAGU
RNAcentral lists this long non-coding RNA (377 nucleotides) under Cucumis sativus (cucumber). Its description in RNAcentral is "long non-coding RNA (CSAT_LNC002063)". Lineage: Eukaryota; Viridiplantae; Streptophyta; Magnoliopsida; Cucurbitales; Cucurbitaceae. The record is from RNAcentral.